RNAcentral lists this long non-coding RNA (2017 nucleotides) under Volvox carteri. RNAcentral's name for it is "long non-coding RNA (VCAR_LNC002297)". The record is from RNAcentral. Lineage: Eukaryota; Viridiplantae; Chlorophyta; Chlorophyceae; Chlamydomonadales; Volvocaceae.
AGAGGUUAAGGCCCGACUUCUGCUCCCGGCCGACCCGGGUUCAAAUCCGCCUGCCGGCUCUUCAGGUGUCUGAGGAGUGAUGCAAUGGGAGGGGGCCCACCAUCAUAUGGACGAUGUAGGACGUGAUAAAAUCAACUUGCGAGCUAAUCAGGAACUAAAUUGAUGCGCCGUUGAUCCGCUAGGUUUGGUUGGAUGCUGGUGGCGAGUUGCCGAACCCAACGAAUACAUUCUGAAGUCGGAUGGGGUGACGGAUUAGGGUGCCCCUCUAGCAGGGGAGAGCAGGGACUGCCCCGGGAAAGGGGGCCGCUGGCGAAGUUAACCACCCUGUAACAACAUACAUACACGGCGUAUUGGUAUCUGAAUAACGCCUUUCUGCAAGAUUAAAAUCAUGCUUGCAACAGUUGUAAGGAUAUACUAUAAUGGUUCUUCCCACCCACGCACGCUCUCUCGCUCUGUGUAAUGCAAUUCGUUGCGUGUUUCUUUUCCUGACCGUGAGGCACCCCCCCUUGAGGCAAACUGAUGCUGAGCAGCUAGGUGUUGUUCGCCUGCGUUCACGAUGAGUGAGCUCUGAAAGGAGUAUCGCUUUCGCUAUACGCAUGAUGAUUAGCUUCUAUGUAUGUAUGCGUGUAUGACUUAGAUUAGACUGUGGGCCGCGAGAGCCGGGGGCCGAAGCCGAAACACAGCGCAAGGGUCGGGAGCACACAGCACAAGUCGGUUAGUCUUGUGUGCUCCCGACCCCGACUCAGACUGCCAACACUCUACGCAGCCACUCUGCAGCCCGAUGGCGCUGCAGUGAAAACACCACAAAGGGCUCUCAGGUCCCGCUAGAACGAGUCCACAAGGUGCGUGUAUGUAUGUAUGUAUGUAUGGGCGUAUGUGACACCAAAUCAAAGGAUGUAUGUAGGCGGCAUAAAGAGACCGCCGCCACACUGCCGGUUCAUUUGAGGACCCCCUAAAAACAUUGUGACGGCAGAUCUAAUAAAGUUUAACUCCUUUUCCGAAAGGGGGGCGCUGGAGCUGCAAACUGUUGUAAAGAUAAAAUAAAAUAAAAAUGCCGUCAUCAUCGAAUUAAUGAAAGAACCCACAGCGGCAAUCAUGUCGGUAGCCGCAUUAGUCGAAGGUGGAGCAGGAAGUUGUCCAUGGCUGCCUGUCCUUCAGACGGCUGGUCUUCUCCAUUAGCCACAUACGAUGACGCGUGACUUCGCCAUGUACGGCAGAUGUAUGUUGCAAGUUGCUGAUAACCUGGUGAUGAAAUGGGCAUCGUUUCCAUGUUAAUUACAGGCAGAAAAAAAUAAUUUUUUACUAAAUGCAAUUCCGUUUGUAAUGUUCAAGGGUCGGCGAAGGGAGGGCGCAAGCGCAGAAACGAUCGCCACGUAUAUUGCUGGCAGACGCUGCUGCUGGCAAAGCGUGCGGCGCACCGGGCCCCGAACGGCGGUUGAUAAGCAACCGCCGCUAAGUGCCGCAAUUCAUGUCAGUUUGAUUCUGUCCCGUGCGUCCUGUUUUGGAGUAUGGUAGAAGGAAAGCCGCCAGGGCCCUUUCAGGCAGAUCACCAAACCGCCGCGAGUCGGCCCGGCAAUGGCAUGUAUCCCUAGAGAAAAUGUGAUAAGCGUGUAGUAUAUGAAAACUGGAUUGGAAUAAACUGCGACUUUUAUUUCCAACUACGCUAGAUCAGUCAGAGCACAGCAGCAUAUAUACCGGGAGAUAUCUGUAACUUAGGUUGGAUAGCCUAUGGCUAAGUUAUCAUUGCACGCUGCCAGCGUUUGUAAACUGCAAAAAUAGAUAUGUUUACGCGCUUUAAAGAAAGAUCUCCAAGACAGUUGAAGACGCCAGCAGAUGCAUGGGAGGUGCGAAGGAGCGAAAUACGAGUCGCGCACCCCUUCCACUAAGCGAGAUUACGCCCUUAGGUGUGGCGAACAUGAUCCCUACGAACUAUGGUGUCCACGAUGUUUUCUUUAAGAUUUUGAUAUAAAAUAAUUUAUUUUCUAUCGAUUGAUGCUUAAAUUUCAGAGACGCGGUC